GGCCUACACAUGCAAGUCGAGCGGAAACGAUGGUAGCUUGCUACCAGGCGUCGAGCGGCGGACGGGUGAGUAAUACUUAGGAAUCUACCUAGUAGUGGGGGAUAGCUCGGGGAAACUCGAAUUAAUACCGCAUACGACCUACGGGAGAAAGGGGGCAGUUUACUGCUCUCGCUAUUAGAUGAGCCUAAGUCGGAUUAGCUAGAUGGUGGGGUAAAGGCCUACCAUGGCGACGAUCUGUAGCUGGUCUGAGAGGAUGAUCAGCCACACCGGGACUGAGACACGGCCCGGACUCCUACGGGAGGCAGCAGUGGGGAAUAUUGGACAAUGGGGGAAACCCUGAUCCAGCCAUGCCGCGUGUGUGAAGAAGGCCUUUUGGUUGUAAAGCACUUUAAGCAGUGAAGAAGACUCCGUGGUUAAUACCCACGGACGAUGACAUUAUCUGCAGAAUAAGCACCGGCUAACUCUGUGCCAGCAGCCGCGGUAAUACAGAGGGUGCAAGCGUUAAUCGGAAUUACUGGGCGUAAAGGGAGCGUACGUGGCUCGAUAAGUCAGAUGUGAAAUCCCCGGGCUCAACCUGGGAACUGCAUCUGAUACUGUUGAGCUAGAGUAUGUGAGAGGAAGGUAGAAUUCCAGGUGUAGCGGUGAAAUGCGUAGAGAUCUGGAGGAAUACCGAUGGCGAAAGCAGCCUUCUGGCAUAAUACUGACACUGAGGCUCGAAAGCGUGGGUAGCAAACAGGAGUAGAUACCCUGGUAGUCCACGCCGUAGACGAUGUCUACUAGUCGUUGGGUCCCUUGAAGACUUACUGACGCACCUAACGUAAUAAGUAGACCGCCUGGAGAGUACUGCCGCGAUGAUAAACUCAAAUGAAUUGACGGGUGCCCGCACAGCGGUGGAGCAUG
This 900-nucleotide ribosomal RNA is filed under the name Psychrobacter sp. B-2-7. Its description in RNAcentral is "bacterial SSU rRNA". It matches the Rfam family "Bacterial small subunit ribosomal RNA", at positions 45 to 941 of the family's 1533-position model. Lineage: Bacteria; Pseudomonadati; Pseudomonadota; Gammaproteobacteria; Moraxellales; Moraxellaceae. The record is from RNAcentral.